GAUGAACGCUGGCGGCGUGCCUAACACAUGCAAGUCGAGCGAACAGAUGAGGAUCUUGCUCCUCUCACGUUUGCGGCGCACGUGUGUGUAACACGUGUAUCACCUACCUAUAAGUCUGGUAUCACUUCGGGAAACCGGCGCUAAUCCCGGAUGAUAUCCUGCACCGCAUGGUUCAAUGGUGAAUGUCGGCUGUGCUGUCUGUUCUAGCUGGAUCCGCGCCGCAUUGGCUGGUUGGUAAGGUAAAGGGCUAUCAGGGCUAGUAUGCGUAGCCGACCGGAGAGAGUGGUCGGCGGCACGGGAAGUGAGACGCGGUCCAGGCUACUGCGGGAGGCAGCAGUAGGGAAUCUUCCGCAGUGGGCGGAAGCCUGACGGAGCAGCGCCACGUGAGUGAUGGAGGUCUUCGGUUCGUGAAGCUCUGUUAUGGGGGGAAAACAAAUGUGUAAGUAACUGUGCACGUCUUGACGGUACCUGAUCAGAAAGCCACGGCUAACUACGUG
Molecule: ribosomal RNA, 497 nt
Filed under: uncultured bacterium
Lineage: Bacteria
Description: partial 16S ribosomal RNA
Rfam family: Bacterial small subunit ribosomal RNA
Source: RNAcentral